This 696-nucleotide ribosomal RNA is filed under the name uncultured Clostridium sp. Its description in RNAcentral is "bacterial SSU rRNA". It matches the Rfam family "Bacterial small subunit ribosomal RNA", at positions 29 to 753 of the family's 1533-position model. The record is from RNAcentral. Lineage: Bacteria; Bacillati; Bacillota; Clostridia; Eubacteriales; Clostridiaceae.
AUGAACGCUGGCGGCGUGCCUAACACAUGCAAGUCGAGCGAUCUUCUUCGGAAGAGAGCGGCGGACGGGUGAGUAACGCGUGGGUAACCUGCCCUGUACACACGGAUAACAUACCGAAAGGUAUGCUAAUACGGGAUAACAUAAGAAAGUCGCAUGGCUUUCUUAUCAAAGCUUUUGCGGUACAGGAUGGACCCGCGUCUGAUUAGCUAGUUGGUAAGGUAACGGCUUACCAAGGCGACGAUCAGUAGCCGACCUGAGAGGGUGAUCGGCCACAUUGGAACUGAGACACGGUCCAAACUCCUACGGGAGGCAGCAGUGGGGAAUAUUGCACAAUGGGCGAAAGCCUGAUGCAGCAACGCCGCGUGAGCGAUGAAGGCCUUCGGGUCGUAAAGCUCUGUCCUCAAGGAAGAUAAUGACGGUACUUGAGGAGGAAGCCCCGGCUAACUACGUGCCAGCAGCCGCGGUAAUACGUAGGGGGCUAGCGUUAUCCGGAAUUACUGGGCGUAAAGGGUGCGUAGGCGGUCUUUCAAGUCAGAAGUGAAAGGCUACGGCUCAACCGUAGUAAGCUUUUGAAACUGUAAGACUUGAGUGCAGGAGAGGAGAGUGGAAUUCCUAGUGUAGCGGUGAAAUGCGUAGAUAUUAGGAGGAACACCAGUUGCGAAGGCGGCUCUCUGGACUGUAACUGACGCUGAGGCA